RNAcentral lists this ribosomal RNA (505 nucleotides) under uncultured bacterium. Its description in RNAcentral is "bacterial SSU rRNA". It matches the Rfam family "Bacterial small subunit ribosomal RNA", at positions 28 to 530 of the family's 1533-position model. The record is from RNAcentral.
GAUGAACGCUAGCGGCAGGCUUAAUACAUGCAAGUCGAACGGGAAUUGGGUAGCAAUACCUGAUGAUAGUGGCGCACGGGUGCGUAACGCGUAUGCAACCUACCUUUAACAGGGGGAUAGCCCGGAGAAAUUCGGAUUAAUACCCCAUAGUAUUAUGGAGAGGCAUCUUUUCAUGAUUAAAGUUCCGGCGGUUAAAGAUGGGCAUGCGUGCCAUUAGCUAGUUGGUGAGGUAACGGCUCACCAAGGCGACGAUGGUUAGGGGUCCUGAGAGGGUUAUCCCCCACACUGGUACUGAGACACGGACCAGACUCCUACGGGAGGCAGCAGUAAGGAAUAUUGGUCAAUGGGCGGAAGCCUGAACCAGCCAUGCCGCGUGCAGGAAGACGGCCUUAUGGGUUGUAAACUGCUUUUGUCAGGGAAUAAACCCUCGUUUGCGAACGAGGCUGAAGGUACCUGAAGAAUAAGCAUCGGCUAACUCCGUGCCAGCAGCCGCGGUAAUACGUAG